AAAUCAUGGUGUGGACAUCUUCAUUGUAACUCCCGAUAACGCUCCCAAACUGCAUAUAUUGUCUCUCCUUCUUGUUGAGAGAAACUAGUUAUAUCCAUAUGAAACU
This is a small nucleolar RNA of Coffea eugenioides, 106 nucleotides long. The record is from RefSeq and is a predicted model, not a curated record. Lineage: Eukaryota; Viridiplantae; Streptophyta; Magnoliopsida; Gentianales; Rubiaceae.